GACAUCAUAGCCAAGUGGUUACGGCGACAGAUUCGAACGAUACAGCGUAGAUAUCUGUUUCCCUUCGGGAGCGCAGGUUCGAAUCCUGCUGGUGUCG
RNAcentral lists this transfer RNA (97 nucleotides) under Pilatotrama ljubarskyi. RNAcentral's name for it is "tRNA-Ser". It matches the Rfam family "tRNA". From Rfam's summary of the family: Transfer RNA (tRNA) molecules are approximately 80 nucleotides in length. The record is from RNAcentral. Lineage: Eukaryota; Fungi; Basidiomycota; Agaricomycetes; Polyporales; Polyporaceae.